Molecule: long non-coding RNA, 405 nt
Filed under: Musa acuminata (dwarf banana)
Lineage: Eukaryota; Viridiplantae; Streptophyta; Magnoliopsida; Zingiberales; Musaceae
Description: long non-coding RNA (MACU_LNC000126)
Source: RNAcentral
AGACUUUCCCAUGGUGGUUAAAUAUCUUAAUCUCAUUGACAGAGACUAAAGCAAAAGCUAUGGAGGUGCAAAGUUAAACUAGGCUACAAAAUCUCUGCGAUGCCAAACCACUAUGUUGGUAGCCUAUAAAGAUGUGAUUUGAGAGACCUCACCUCUUCUUCUCCGAGUCGACGAUUCAUGCCAAAACCAAUGUGAAGUCUUGGCCUGCUAGCUAAGAUUUUGGAAAUGGUGGUAACAGAUCUAUCAUCAUGUCAUGGAAAACGUUCCUGAAAAAUGGUAUGAGAAGGGCUCCACAUCUCACUGUAGAACAUGAUUUGUAUGAAUCAUGCUGAAGGUUGACCUUUAUUUUCUCAUGUUUCAGGCAAUCCAGAGAACCAUAUGUGGUUUUUCAGACCGACAAGGUUG